This is a long non-coding RNA of Prinia subflava (tawny-flanked prinia), 285 nucleotides long. RefSeq lists it as uncharacterized. The record is from RefSeq and is a predicted model, not a curated record. The transcript has 3 exons. NCBI's taxonomy places the organism in Eukaryota, Metazoa, Chordata, Aves, Passeriformes, Cisticolidae.
CGGGGCUUCAGGCCACGCCCACAGGCGCGGCUGGGCUCGGAGCCCCCUCCCGGCUCCACAUCUGGGUGGGCUCCGAUCCCAGUGCGGACACAUCUGGAUGGUCCCAGUGACCAUCCUUGGAUUCUCGGCCUUGGCACUCCCAAAAAUUUGUGGAUGACGAAGCCAUGGGGAUGUCAAAAGCCAUUGAGGUGAAGAGCAGCAGCAGGAAGCGGAAGAAUGAGUUGGAAAAGGGGCAGGACAAGCCAAAGGCGCUCCCAGUGAAGAAGAAGAAGCUGGAAUGCGCAG